RNAcentral lists this ribosomal RNA (1018 nucleotides) under uncultured bacterium. Its description in RNAcentral is "bacterial SSU rRNA". It matches the Rfam family "Bacterial small subunit ribosomal RNA", at positions 356 to 1376 of the family's 1533-position model. The record is from RNAcentral.
AGGGAAUUUUCGGCAAUGGGGGAAACCCUGACCGAGCAACGCCGCGUGAAGGAAGAAGUAAUUCGUUAUGUAAACUUCUGUCAUAGAGGAAGAACGGUGGAUAUAGGGAGUGAUAUCCAAGUGACGGUACUCUAUAAGAAAGCCACGGCUAACUACGUGCCAGCAGCCGCGGUAAUACGUAGGUGGCGAGCGUUAUCCGGAAUUAUUGGGCGUAAAGAGGGAGCAGGCGGCACUAAGGGUCUGUGGUGAAAGAUCGAAGCUUAACUUCGGUAAGCCAUGGAAACCGUAGAGCUAGAGUGUGUGAGAGGAUCGUGGAAUUCCAUGUGUAGCGGUGAAAUGCGUAGAUAUAUGGAGGAACACCAGUGGCGAAGGCGACGAUCUGGCGCAUAACUGACGCUCAGUCCCGAAAGCGUGGGGAGCAAAUAGGAUUAGAUACCCUAGUAGUCCACGCCGUAAACGAUGAGUACUAAGUGUUGGGUGUCAAAGCUCAGUGCUGCAGUUAACGCAAUAAGUACUCCGCCUGAGUAGUACGUUCGCAAGAAUGAAACUCAAAGGAAUUGACGGGGGCCCGCACAAGCGGUGGAGCAUGUGGUUUAAUUCGAAGCAACGCGAAGAACCUUACCAGGUCUUGACAUCGAUCUAAAGGCUCCAGAGAUGGAGAGAUAGCUAUAGAGAAGACAGGUGGUGCAUGGUUGUCGUCAGCUCGUGUCGUGAGAUGUUGGGUUAAGUCCCGCAACGAGCGCAACCCCUGUUGCCAGUUGCCAGCAUUAAGUUGGGGACUCUGGCGAGACUGCCGGUGACAAGCCGGAGGAAGGCGGGGAUGACGUCAAAUCAUCAUGCCCCUUAUGACCUGGGCUACACACGUGCUACAAUGGACAGAGCAGAGGGAAGCGAAGCCGCGAGGUGGAGCGAAACCCAUAAAACUGUUCUCAGUUCGGACUGCAGUCUGCAACUCGACUGCACGAAGAUGGAAUCGCUAGUAAUCGCGAAUCAGCAUGUCGCGGUGAAUACGUUCUCG